GACGAACGCUGGCGGCGUGCUUAACACAUGCAAGUCGAACGGAAAGGCCCUGCUUUUGUGGGGUGCUCGAGUGGCGAACGGGUGAGUAACACGUGAGUAACCUGCCCUUGACUUUUGGAUAACUUCAGGAAACUGGGGCUAAUACCGGAUAGGAGCUCCUGCUGCAUGGUGGGGGUUGGAAAGUUUCGGGGGGUGGGGAUGGACUCGCGGGUUAUUAGCUUGUUGGGGGGGUGGUGGCUUACCAAGGAUUUGACGGGUAGCCGGACUGAGGGGGCGACCAGGCACAUUGGGGAGAGAGGACGGCACGGACGCCGGCGGGAGGCAGGAGGGGGGAAUGGUGGGAAAUGGGCGGGGGACUGAUGCAGCAACGCCGAGGGGGGGAUGACGGGCUUGGGGUUGGAAGCCGCGUUCAGCAGGGGCGAAGCUUGUGGUGACGGUACCUGAAGAAGAAGCACCGGCUAACUACGUG
RNAcentral lists this ribosomal RNA (469 nucleotides) under uncultured bacterium. RNAcentral's name for it is "partial 16S ribosomal RNA". It matches the Rfam family "Bacterial small subunit ribosomal RNA", at positions 28 to 507 of the family's 1533-position model. The record is from RNAcentral.